This 666-nucleotide ribosomal RNA is filed under the name uncultured marine eukaryote. RNAcentral describes it as "bacterial SSU rRNA". It matches the Rfam family "Eukaryotic small subunit ribosomal RNA", at positions 720 to 1197 of the family's 1831-position model. The record is from RNAcentral.
AUCCUGACGGCGGCGGAACAACCCCGCGCAUUACGCAGUCCACUCUAGCAGGCCGAAACGGUUCCCUGUGAGUAGGCCCCUUCAUUGGAGUCGAAAGCGCCAACGCAUCAACCGUAUGCAUACGGGACGUCGGCCAACGUUACUGUGAACAAACCAGCGUGUCCAAAGCAGGCCUUCGCCUGAAUGUUCGAGCAUGGAAUAACAAGGGAUCGAUUCUCUCGGUUCUUUUUGUUGGUUUUUAUCCCGAGAAGGAGUAAUUCAGUCCACGGUGUCUGAGUUGGGUUACCCUAGGUCUAGGCUUAGGCCCCAAUUAGGCCGUGUGCUUACGGGAUCAAUAGGGACUGACGGGGUCGUACGUACUUCCGCGGCAGAGGUGAAAUUCUUAGAUCGCGGGAAGACGAACUUCUGCGAAAGCAUUCGACAAGAAUGUCUUCAUUAAUCAAGAACGAGAGUGUGGGGAUCGAAGAUGAUCAGAUACCGUCGUAGUCCACACUGUAAACAAUGCCGUCUCAGGAUUGAGAAGUGAACAUAAUGACUUUCACAGCACUAACCCCUGAAACGAGAAAUCAAAGAUUAUGGGUUCAGGGGGGAGUACAUUCGCAAGGCUGAAACUUAAAGGAAUUUACGGAAUGACACCACAAGGCGUGGAGUAUGCGGCUUAAUUUG